This 33-nucleotide small RNA is filed under the name Bombyx mori (domestic silkworm). RNAcentral's name for it is "ovarian small RNA-15104". The record is from RNAcentral. Lineage: Eukaryota; Metazoa; Arthropoda; Insecta; Lepidoptera; Bombycidae.
GAAAUGGACUUCAGCAAUGCCAGGGGCAGAGCU